UACAGAGGGGGCAAGCGUUGUUCGGAAUUACUGGGCGUAAAGGGCGCGUAGGCGGCCUUCUAAGUCGAACGUGAAAUCCCCGGGCUCAACCCGGGAACUGCGUCCGAUACUGGAAGGCUUGAAUCCGGGAGAGGGAUGCGGAAUUCCUGGUGUAGCGGUGAAACGCGCAGAUAUCAGGAGGAACACCAAUGGCGAAGGCAGCACUCUGGGACGUGACUGACGCUGAGACGCGAAAGCGUGGGGAGCAAACAGG
This 253-nucleotide ribosomal RNA is filed under the name uncultured bacterium. Its description in RNAcentral is "partial 16S ribosomal RNA". It matches the Rfam family "Bacterial small subunit ribosomal RNA", at positions 524 to 776 of the family's 1533-position model. The record is from RNAcentral.